UUGAACUUUGCAAGAAUAUCCUUUUUAUAUGUACAAAAAUCAUGAGCUCUUUUGACAUGCACAAGCUUUGCACAAGCACUCACAAUGGCCUGCACUGUGCCACUGUGUACUUGAGGAAUCUAUCAAGAGCCCUGCUAGUUAAUUCUUUCGAGGAAUAGUGAUAUACGCAAAUUAUAUUCCCUUUCUCCUGACACAAAAGUUUGUGUGUGCGUGUGUGUGAGAGAGAAGGAAUCAUCCACUAAUAAAAGCCUGGAUUUGAGACAUCAUUUCAAGUGUUCGAGUUUGCGAGACCUGAGACUUACUCAGAACCUGAAAUCCAUGCCCUACACCUUUAUGUAUCACAUGCUCCACUGCCUUCCUUGCUUUAGCCAAAGCAGCAACAAGCUCCAAGUUUCUAUCUUUCAAAAUAUCCAUCUCUGAUAUGCAGACCAUCACCGGCAACUCCAUCAGAUCCUCCAUUUUCAUUGAUCCUUUUCCCAGAGGGUUGCACCAUGGAUGCUCACGAUUAGCACCAAAUGGCAAAGCUAGUCUCCAAUAUGUAUCCGAGGUUGCCAGGCUUAGUGCUGACCGAGAUGACUGUAUUAAAUAUUUCUCUGAAUUGGUUAGUAGCUCUCCCCCGAAAAAUGGUUGAAUCAAGAUUAAGCCCUUAAGAUCUAAUGGCUUUAUUGCUGCAGCUUCUUCAGAACUUAGCCUUGCAAUAAUAUUAUAGGCUACGUUGGCACCAGCACUAUCACCAGCUACGAAAAUGUUAGAGAAAUUGCAUUGCCUAGACCACCAGUCACUAGCUGAACUUAAAGCUUGUUGUUUUAACCACAUUAAAGCCUUAAUCCCAUCAUCAAAAGCUGCCGGGAGAGGAUUUUCCGGGGCUAAACGAUAGUUGACAGACAUGACCAGGCAACCUGCCUUGGCAGCCAGCCUUGCCAGGAACUCAUGAUAGCAACUCCAAGCAGCUGAACCGACACAGAACCCACCUCCAUGGAAAUAUACAAUUAAUGGGAGCUUACCAUGGCAAGUGGUUGGAACAUAAAAACGUGCCCAAAUAUCUGUGAACUUGUCAAUGACUAUGUCUCGUGAGGUCACACCAUGCUCAGGAGGCAAAGCGCUCGUAACGCAUGGAACGAUCUGAGGCCUUUCUACAUGCCCAUCUUUGUACACUUUAAUUAGACCAUCGAUUUCCUCUGUAAUUCCAACUCCUCGACGGUGACAAUCUUUGUCAAUUUGCAGGCUUAAACUCGAAUCCAGUGAAAUUGCAACCAUUCUUCUCCUUCUCACACAACACACAAUAGAAAUUAAGAAAGUAAAUCUUUGAAGUUUUUUCUGAUUUGCUAUUAGCUAGCAAGUGCUUGUUCCCAG
This 1353-nucleotide unclassified non-coding RNA is filed under the name Hevea brasiliensis (rubber tree). Lineage: Eukaryota; Viridiplantae; Streptophyta; Magnoliopsida; Malpighiales; Euphorbiaceae. The record is from RNAcentral.